This is a long non-coding RNA of Leopardus geoffroyi (Geoffroy's cat), 131 nucleotides long. RefSeq lists it as uncharacterized. NCBI's taxonomy places the organism in Eukaryota, Metazoa, Chordata, Mammalia, Carnivora, Felidae. The record is from RefSeq and is a predicted model, not a curated record. The transcript is spliced from 4 exons.
AAGGAUCAGAUGCUACUAGAAAAAUACGGUCAAAUUUUCUAAGUAUGAUAAUGGAUUGCAAUCCUUGUGAUUGAGAGAGAACAUCUUAGUUCUUAGGACAUGUAAGCCACAAUAAGAGAUAAGUGUCAGGU